This 1527-nucleotide small RNA is filed under the name Pongo abelii (Sumatran orangutan). Its description in RNAcentral is "retained intron". Lineage: Eukaryota; Metazoa; Chordata; Mammalia; Primates; Hominidae. The record is from RNAcentral.
UCUGCAGCUCCUGGCCUGCGCAGCUUCUGGAUCCUUGGUCUUCGCUCCAGCGUGGGCACAGCUGUGCAGGCACAAGGUGUUCAUCAGAGCGUGGCCACCGAUGGCCCAAGCAGCACCCAGCCUGCCCUGCCAAAGGCCAGAGCCGUGGCUCCCAAACCCAGCAGCCGGGGCGAGUAUGUGGUGGCCAAGCUGGAUGACCUCAUCAACUGGGCCCGCCGGAGUUCUCUGUGGCCCAUGACCUUCGGCCUGGCCUGCUGCGCCGUGGAGAUGAUGCACAUGGCCGCACCCCGCUACGACAUGGACCGCUUCGGCGUGGUCUUCCGCGCCAGCCCGCGCCAGUCCGACGUCAUGAUCGUGGCCGGCACACUCACCAACAAGAUGGCCCCAGCGCUUCGCAAGGUAGGCCUCGUCCCCGCCGCCCAGCCGCCCCCAGAGUGAGCUGCGCACGGACCCCGUCUCUCUUCCAGGUCUACGACCAGAUGCCGGAGCCGCGCUACGUGGUCUCCAUGGGGAGCUGCGCCAACGGAGGAGGCUACUACCACUACUCAUACUCGGUGGUGAGGGGCUGCGACCGCAUCGUGCCUGUGGACAUCUACAUCCCAGUCCCUGGGGACUGCGCUCCUCCCUCCCUCCUCGCAGACUGUGCUUCUCCCUCCCUUGGAGCAGCCUGGACUUGCCAGAGCUCUGCCAGGUGGGGCCUGGCCGCCCUUUCCCAGGCCCUGCAGUGGCCUUGUCCUUCCCCACCUGUUUCCACUCCUGCUGUCCCCGUUGGGCCCUGGGCUUCGUCCUCUUGCUCAAGCCCUUUGCUAUGAGCCUGCCUGGCAGCUGGGGCUAGGGGAUCCCCAGCAAAGACCUCUGGCUUGGAGCUCAGAAAGGGGGUCAUCGGGUCCUCGUGGGAUGCCUGGGCUCUGGGCCACCUCCCCUCCCUCCGCCCAGCCUCCCUGCCUCCAUCUCCGUCCAGUGCAGCCCCGGGUCCUGCUCCCCACUGCUAAGUGUGUCUGGUGAGCGCUGGCCCCCAUGGAGUCCUGAGGGCUAGGGCCGGGGCCGGGUUAGUGAGGUCAGCGUCUUGUCCAAGAGGUUCCUGUGACAGCCCGGGAUGAGCCAUGGGUGGAGGGCAGUGGGGCCUUGCCCAGGGGAGGACCCCACUCUUCCUGCAGGGACCUCCCCUGCGCCGGCUCCCAAACCCUGACCUCUGCGCCCACCCAGGGCUGUCAGCCUCCACCUUCAGAGGCCGGCACGGGAGACCCCUCAAAAGCCGAGCCGGCUGCGCUGUGCACGCGGUCAUGCAGGCUCUGGCUGCGAGAAGGGAGACUGAGGCAAGGUCCCUGCAGGCUGCCCACCCACGGCCGAGGCCCUGCUGUACGGCAUCCUGCAGCUGCAGAGGAAGAUCAAGAGGGAGCGGAGGCUGCAGAUCUGGUACCGCAGGUAGCGCCGCCGCCGCCACCUGAGCCUGUCGCCGUCCUGUCCCCAGCCUGCUUGUGUCCCGUGAGGUUGUCAAUAAACCUGCCAUCGGGCUGCUGCCUCCUA